RNAcentral lists this ribosomal RNA (465 nucleotides) under uncultured bacterium. Its description in RNAcentral is "bacterial SSU rRNA". It matches the Rfam family "Bacterial small subunit ribosomal RNA", at positions 338 to 795 of the family's 1533-position model. The record is from RNAcentral.
CCUACGGGAUGCAGCAGUGGGGAAUAUUGCACAAUGGGCGCAAGCCUGAUGCAGCCAUGCCGCGUGUGUGAAGAAGGCCUUCGGGUUGUAAAGCACUUUCAGCGGGGAGGAAGGCGUUAAGGUUAAUAACCUUAGCAAUUGACGUUACCCGCAGAAGAAGCACCGGCUAACUCCGUGCCAGCAGCCGCGGUAAUACGGAGGGUGCAAGCGUUAAUCGGAAUUACUGGGCGUAAAGCGCACGCAGGCGGUCUGUCAAGUCGGAUGUGAAAUCCCCGGGCUCAACCUGGGAACUGCAUUCGAAACUGGCAGGCUAGAGUCUUGUAGAGGGGGGUAGAAUUCCAGGUGUAGCGGUGAAAUGCGUAGAGAUCUGGAGGAAUACCGGUGGCGAAGGCGGCCCCCUGGACAAAGACUGACGCUCAGGUGCGAAAGCGUGGGGAGCAAACAGGAUUAGAUACCCUAGUAGUC